AGAUUGAACAUAAGAGUUUGAUCCUGGCUCAGAUUGAACGCUGGCGGCAUGCUUUACACAUGCAAGUCGGACGGCAGCACAGAGAAGCUUGCUUCUCGGGUGGCGAGUGGCGAACGGGUGAGUAACAUAUCGGAACGUACCGAGUAGUGGGGGAUAACUGAUCGAAAGAUCAGCUAAUACCGCAUACGCCUUGAGAGAGAAAGCAGGGGACCUUCGGGUCUUGCGCUAUUCGAGCGGCCGAUAUCUGAUUAGCUAGUUGGUGGGGUAAAGGCUCACCAAGGGCGACGAUCAGUAGCGGGUCUGAGAGGAUGAUCCGCCACACUGGGACUGAGACACGGCCCAGACUCCUACGGGAGGCAGCAGUGGGGAAUUUUGGACAAUGGGCGCAAGCCUGAUCCAGCCAUGCCGCGUGUCUGAAGAAGGCCUUCGGGUUGUAAAGGACUUUUGUCAGGGAAGAAAAGGCUGUUGCUAAUACCAGCGGCUGAUGACGGUACCUGAAGAAUAAGCACCGGCUAACUACGUGCCAGCAGCCGCGGUAAUACGUAGGGUGCGAGCGUUAAUCGGAAUUACUGGGCGUAAAGCGGGCGCAGACGGUUACUUAAGCAGGAUGUGAAAUCCCCGGGCUCAACCCGGGAACUGCGUUCUGAACUGGGUGACUCGAGUGUGUCAGAGGGAGGUAGAAUUCCACGUGUAGCAGUGAAAUGCGUAGAGAUGUGGAGGAAUACCGAUGGCGAAGGCAGCCUCCUGGGAUAACACUGACGUUCAUGCCCG
This 771-nucleotide ribosomal RNA is filed under the name Vibrio cholerae. RNAcentral's name for it is "bacterial SSU rRNA". It matches the Rfam family "Bacterial small subunit ribosomal RNA", at positions 1 to 755 of the family's 1533-position model. The record is from RNAcentral. Lineage: Bacteria; Pseudomonadati; Pseudomonadota; Gammaproteobacteria; Vibrionales; Vibrionaceae.